Molecule: unclassified non-coding RNA, 421 nt
Filed under: soil metagenome
Description: partial contains 5.8S ribosomal RNA, internal transcribed spacer 2, and large subunit ribosomal RNA
Rfam family: 5.8S ribosomal RNA (bases 1-120)
Source: RNAcentral
GAUGAAGAACGCAGCGAAAUGCGAUACGUAAUGUGAAUUGCAGAAUUCAGUGAAUCAUCGAAUCUUCGAACGCAUAUUGCGCUCUUUGGUAUUCCGAAGAGCAUGCUUGUUUGAGUAUCAGUAAACACCUCAACCUCUUCUUGAUUUUUCAAAAGGAGGGUGGACUUGAGCUAUCCCAACAACCUUUACCGGUCGGCGGGCGGCUUGAAAUGCAGGUGCAGCUGGACUUUUAUCUGAGCUAAAAGCAUAUCUAUUUAGUCCUCGUCAAACAGGAUUAUUACUUUUGCUGCAGCUAACAUAAAGGAUAAUUGUCCUCUUUGCUGACUGAUGCAGGAUUUUACGACACUUUAUGUGUUGUUCAACUCGAUCUCAAAUCAAGUAAGACUACCCGCUGAACUUAAGCAUAUCAAUAAGCGGAGGA